This 253-nucleotide ribosomal RNA is filed under the name uncultured bacterium. RNAcentral describes it as "partial 16S ribosomal RNA". It matches the Rfam family "Bacterial small subunit ribosomal RNA", at positions 524 to 776 of the family's 1533-position model. The record is from RNAcentral.
UACGUAGGGUGCGAGCGUUGUCCGGAAUUAUUGGGCGUAAAGGGCUCGUAGGCGGUCUGUUGCGUCGGUAGUGAAAACUCAGGGCUUAACCCUGAGCCUGCUUCCGAUACGGGCAGACUAGAGGUAUGCAGGGGAGAACGGAAUUCCUGGUGUAGCGGUGAAAUGCGCAGAUAUCAGGAGGAACACCGGUGGCGAAGGCGGAUCUCUGGGCCGAUACUGACGCUGAGGAGCGAAAGCGUGGGGAGCGAACAGG